Molecule: ribosomal RNA, 463 nt
Filed under: uncultured bacterium
Lineage: Bacteria
Description: partial 16S ribosomal RNA
Rfam family: Bacterial small subunit ribosomal RNA
Source: RNAcentral
GAUGUACGCUGACAGAAUGCUUAACACAUGCAAGUCUUUGGCGAAGCUGUGCUUGCACAGCCUAGCCAAGGCGGACGGGUGAGUAACGCGUAAGGAACUUGCCCUGCGGUCAGGGAUAACAGACGGAAACGACUGAUAAGACCUGGUAAAGUCAGGCGGACUCAUGUCCAGCCUGAUGAAAAGAGAUGCUGCAGGAGAGCCUUGCGUCCUAUUAGCUUGUUGGUGGGGUAACGGCCCACCAAGGCGAUGAUAGGUAGCCGGCCUGAGAGGGUGGACGGCCACAAGGGGACUGAGAUACGGCCCUUACUCCUACGGGAGGCAGCAGUGGGGAAUAUUGGACAAUGGGGGCAACCCUGAUCCAGCAAUUCUGUGUGCACGAUGAAGGUUUUCGGAUUGUAAAGUGCUUUCAGCAGGGAAGAAAAAAAUGACGGUACCUGCAGAAGAAGCGACGGCUAAAUACGUG